This is a non-coding RNA of Peromyscus maniculatus bairdii (prairie deer mouse), 810 nucleotides long. Lineage: Eukaryota; Metazoa; Chordata; Mammalia; Rodentia; Cricetidae. The record is from RefSeq and is a predicted model, not a curated record.
UGCAGAGAGCAGGUGGAAGCCAGCUUGUCCCAGUUAUCAAAGCCCCCAGCUAAGCGCCUACCAGGCCGGCUGCGAGCCCCUUACAACAGCAGGUGGUGGGCGCCUCUUAGGGGGAUUCUUUCUCUCCUCCCAAAGGUCGCCCGUCCCCAUUUGGCAGGUCAAAAGAGGCGACAUUAGUCCAAGGUUAAACAUUUUAGGACUCCAAUUUAGGGGAUCCCAGCGUGGUUCUCCCUAUCUAACCGUUUGAGCGCCAGACCCAUUUUAGACUCAUCCAACCUUAUCUUGCCAUCCCCUGAAUCGCCUCCUCCACAAAGCAGGGACUCUCCCUCCGCCCAUGGUCUCUGAAAUUAAUGGGAUGAAAUGACUCUAAUUGGGAAACGUAACAUCUUUGUUGAGAGUCAUCCACGGAGCCCAGGCUGGUCUCAAACUCACUUGGUAGCGGAGGAGGACCUUGAUCUGACCUGUUCCCCCCACCUCCUGAGUGCUGGGGCUCCGAGCAUGGGCCUUUGCGCCUGGCUUCAUAUCUGUCUCAUCGCGCAUCAGGCUUCAUUACAGUCUUUUCAGAAUUUAGUUUGUGCAUGCUCUCAUGCUGAAGCCCAGGCUCACCUGAAACAUACUAUGUAGCCCAUGCUGGCUUCAAACUUCCCGUGAACCGUCAUGCCUGGCUUCAGGUCUUAGUUUAAAGAGUGCUAGGUUCUUAAAGACAGGGGCUUGAAUGCGCUUGUCUGUCAAUCUUCCUGAGGACCUAGACGAGGACAUAGUUGACAUUUAAAAUAAGACUAAAUUGGGGCCAGGUGGUGGUGGUGGUGG